AUGCAGAUACUAAUACAACAAAUACAAAUCAAUGUUCUCUCUUAUGAUACUCAAAGAGAUUUUCUAUGAAAUGUUGGCUGAUGAAAUAUAAAAUAGAUGUUUUAACUUUUGAAUUGGUUAACAAGGGAAGGCUUUUGAUGUAUAAACGCAAACAUUAGCAAUAUCUUACAUGAGAUACAAUUAGUUAUUAAAAAGAGGUGUAGGGUAUAAA
RNAcentral lists this long non-coding RNA (211 nucleotides) under Mytilus galloprovincialis (Mediterranean mussel). The record is from RNAcentral. Lineage: Eukaryota; Metazoa; Mollusca; Bivalvia; Mytilida; Mytilidae.